Molecule: long non-coding RNA, 1159 nt
Organism: Xenopus laevis (African clawed frog)
Lineage: Eukaryota; Metazoa; Chordata; Amphibia; Anura; Pipidae
Exons: 3
Source: RefSeq, a predicted model, not a curated record
CAUUUUAUUUUUUCUAAUGUAGAUGAGCUUAUUCCUUUUUGCAGAACUACCCACUGACUGAUUAACUAAGGGCAGUGUACCAUGAUGUUAGAAGAGGAGCCAUGUGGCUACUCACAGUUCCUGGGGUGCUGCAGUCUGUAUAGUCCAGCCGUUCCCACCCCUGUCCUGGCUCUGUUUGGAAAGAGUAUUUAUGAAAUAUAAAUAAGGUGGAAGGACGGCCGUCACUGUGCUGGGCUGGUCCCUGUGGGAGAGAGAAACAGAAGGUGGAGUCUAAUAAACGUCAUCUUACAAAGGGGGAGAGAGGUUCACGGAGUUAUUUGUUUACUAACCCAUAUAUAGACUUCACUAACACACACACAUUGUACCUACUUGUUUAUCUACUUGUUUACCAACACACACAAACCUUUUAUUAUCAUAACCAAAAAAAAUCUAGCCAUUGGACCCAUAGGCUGUUGUUGAACUACAAACUACAGAACCCACUUACAGCUGAAUAACUUCAAUAUCUAUUAUUGGGCAGCAUUGAUAUAUGUGCCGCUGUCUCCAUCUUGUCCUUGUGAUAAAACAAACUUUUAAUCUGGAGUGGAGCAGAUAGCGCAAGCAGAGGCAGAUUUGGAGGAAGGAUACUAUGCACUGCAGAGCACCAUGCACCAAUCAGGUUGUCUAUGUUCCCAGAAAUGCCAAGGACUCUAUGGUUUCUUACCUGGGAGAACUUCUCAGCAUUCCUGUCUGGAGAUGUGACAUGGGACCAUGUACUAGGUUGGUAGAAAGCUAUGGACAAACACAAGAUCUUUAUCUUCUAUGGGGACAUGAUCAAGAUUAGAAAGCUGAGUAGUCUGAUAAUAAGGAAAUGUCAUGGAGACAUCUAAAAUAGAACAUUUGUCCUCAUUUAUUGUAACCCAAUGUGCGAGAUUCAAAAAGUCAAGAAGUUCCUUGGGAAAGACUUAUCUAAUGAGGUUCUUGUGAAGAUCAAGGAUUACACUUCCUUCUGUCAGGUAUUGCUGGGAUUCGAGCAAGGGACCUUUGGGUUUCUGGCAUGAUACCUUAACCAUUUGGCCAGGUGAGCAACCUGUAGGAUUGCUCGCUAUAUGUUACAUGGCCUCGGUAGCCCCAGCCCAGCUGCAGCCUGAUUGGCCUCUCCAGCCCCAGCCCAGCUGCUGCC